Non-coding RNA from Nicotiana tabacum (common tobacco), 1948 nucleotides. Lineage: Eukaryota; Viridiplantae; Streptophyta; Magnoliopsida; Solanales; Solanaceae. The record is from RefSeq and is a predicted model, not a curated record.
GUCAAUAUUAAUCAAUAAUAUAUUUUCUCCCGUGCAUUCUCACAGUCUACAAAGUACAUAUUACUCCCAUUCCAAUGUGGGACUAUACAUAACUAACAAUAAGCAUGAACUUGAUCGAUGUUAGAGUCUCAUAUUUAGGAAGGUUUUCGUGCUUGUUCUUCGAAUGUGAGCACUGUAGCCAAUCAAUAAAAGCUACUUGUAGUGGUAGAUAUUUCUGAACAAGUUCCUGGAUAACAAGCCUAAAGGUUUUCUUUUAAUGAGAUUGAUAUUGAUGAUAGUGACAACACAGAGGGAUCAACGCGUAAACUUGAAGGGCUAGGGGACUCCUUUAACUCAAUAAUGAAAGUUAGGAUCGAUAGGAGGAGGCCUUACCUCUUAGAUGACCCAAGCAAGUUAUUAAUUUAUUGGAUGGAUCCUCCUAACUGUAGUUACAGGAGAAUGGACGUCAAAUCCUUGGUAUUAAAAUGAUGGAAGUUUUUGCGCCAUUCUGUUUGAUUCUUUGCCUGCAUAAUAAAUUUCUUUUGAAUCUACUUUUAUAUGUAACUUUAUGAAAGAAACAAGUUGAUUCUUUGUAAAAAUGUUAAGACUACAGUACUGCUAAUUGUUCUCUCAAACUCUCUUCCCUUGAAAGUAUGUGCAUUACUGCAUUCAAUUUGGUGGUUGAGGUAGGGGGUGAGGCUGCGUGGUGAAUGCUGAACAGCUGAGGUUGUGUUGAAUGAAGAGAUAAAAGACACCCCAACUACAUGCAACAAGAAACUGACUUUGCUAUUUCUGCAAAGAGCACCAAUCAUCUGCACUUAUUGGACCUGAUACUUGCCCCAAGAGGUCACAAAAAGCAUAAAUGGUUCCUUGAAUUGUACAAUCCUACUUAUCUACCUUUGUGUACUUCUUGUAUGUUGGAAGACUCCUUGCUACCAUACAUCAACAAAAUUUUACCUUCUAAAAAAAGGGAAUAUCAUUUUUUCUUAAGUUAAAUACUAUAGGAUACUAGUUACUGAUUUGUCCCAUUAAGCUUCACAUUACAUUGUUAGAGGGAGAAUUUCUUUUUGAUUCUUAAAUCUGUCAUUCUAAAAUUGCUUUGUUUCUACUGUUAGGGGAUCUCUGACUUGCAAUUUUGGUGAUUCUCUUCUCUGUUUUAUUUUUAAAUUUUUCUUUUCCUGCAGUUCUCAGAGCCAUCUGGAAUCGUUGAAGCAGAAAAUGGAAGAUUAUACAUAGCAGAUACGAAUAACAGUGUGAUAAGAUACUUAGACCUGAACAAGUCAGAAGUUGAAGUUCUUACUCUGGAGUUAAAAGGAGUGCAGCCACCACUUAAAUCCAGAUCUUUGAAGCGCCUUAGACGGCGUUCUGGAGCUGACUCACAGACUAUUGUUGUUAAUGGUGGUUCAUCUAACGAGGGUACAUUAAACUUAAGAAUCUCGGUACCUGAAGGGUACCAUUUCUCAAAGGAAGCACAAAGUAAAUUUAGCAUAGAUUUUGAUCCAGAUGCUGCUGCUGUUGUUGAUUCCUUGGAGGGAAAUCUCAGCCAAGAAGGUUCAGCAGUAGUGCACUUCAGAAGAUCUUCUGCUUCAACAUCCACCGGCAGAGUUUAUUGCAAGGUAUACUAUUGCAAAGAAGAUGAGGUUUGCUUGUACCAGUCUUUGACCUUUGAAGUACCAUUUCAAGAGGUAAAUCCUGAUUCUGCCCCUGCCAUGAUCACACUUCCCUUUGAUGUGAAGCCAAAAACAUCCCCAAGUAGCUUACCGAUACCGGAGAAGUGAUUCAUCGAUCACAAACUUGUUUAUAGUUACACAUGUAUUUAUAUUAAAAUGUUUAGUUCGGUGUUUGCACUCUGUAAUUAUACUGAAUUAAACAUUUUAACCGUUAAAAGUUACAAAAUAAAGUGUGAAUACGUAUUAUAGCUAUUACUAAUUGAUAAAUGGAUGUAUAAAAGUCACACGUCAUUUAUUUA